RNAcentral lists this unclassified non-coding RNA (234 nucleotides) under air metagenome. RNAcentral describes it as "partial contains small subunit ribosomal RNA, internal transcribed spacer 1, and 5.8S ribosomal RNA". The stretch from base 1 to 46 matches the Rfam family "Eukaryotic small subunit ribosomal RNA", at positions 1786 to 1831 of the family's 1831-position model. The record is from RNAcentral.
AAGUCGUAACAAGGUCUCCGUUGGUGAACCAGCGGAGGGAUCAUUACAGAGUUACUAAACUCCCAAACCCAUGUGAACUUACCUAUGUUGCCUCGGCGGCUACCUACCCUGUAGCUACCCUGUAGUUACCCGGUAGCGGCCGCCGGUGGACCUCCAAACUCUUGUUUUAAUAUGGUUAUUCUGAGUUAUUACUAUAAUAAGUCAAAACUUUCAACAACGGAUCUCUUGGUUCUG